RNAcentral lists this ribosomal RNA (497 nucleotides) under uncultured bacterium. RNAcentral describes it as "partial 16S ribosomal RNA". It matches the Rfam family "Bacterial small subunit ribosomal RNA", at positions 28 to 507 of the family's 1533-position model. The record is from RNAcentral.
GAUGAACGCUGGCGGCGUGCCUAAUACAUGCAAGUCGAGCGAACAGAUGAGGAGCUUGCUCCUCUGACGUUAGCGGCGGACGGGUGAGUAACACGUGGAUAACCUACCUAUAAGACUGGGAUAACUUCGGGAAACCGGAGCUAAUACCGGAUAAUAUAUUGAACCGCAUGGUUCAAUAGUGAAAGACGGUUUUGCUGUCACUUAUAGCUGGAUCCGCGCCGCAUUAGCUAGUUGGUAAGGUAACGGCUUACCAAGGCAACGAUGCGUAGCCGACCUGAGAGGGUGAUCGGCCACACGGGAACUGAGACACGGUCCAGACUCCUACGGGAGGCAGCAGUAGGGAAUCUUCCGCAAUGGGCGAAAGCCUGACGGAGCAACGCCGCGUGAGUGAUGAAGGUCUUCGGAUCGUAAAACUCUGUUAUUAGGGAAGAACAAAUGUGUAAGUAACUAUGCACGUCUUGACAGUACCUACUCAGAAAGCCACGGCUAACUACGUG